This 484-nucleotide ribosomal RNA is filed under the name uncultured bacterium. RNAcentral's name for it is "partial 16S ribosomal RNA". It matches the Rfam family "Bacterial small subunit ribosomal RNA", at positions 29 to 507 of the family's 1533-position model. The record is from RNAcentral.
AUUGAACGCUAGCGGGAUGCUUUACACAUGCAAGUCGAACGGCAGCGCGGACUUCGGUCUGGCGGCGAGUGGCGAACGGGUGAGUAAUGUAUCGGAACGUGCCCAGUAGCGGGGGAUAACUACGCGAAAGCGUAGCUAAUACCGCAUACGCCCUACGGGGGAAAGCAGGGGAUCGUAAGACCUUGCACUAUUGGAGCGGCCGAUAUCGGAUUAGCUAGUUGGUGAGGUAACGGCUCACCAAGGCGACGAUCCGUAGCUGGUUUGAGAGGACGACCAGCCAAAGGGGAACUGAGACAAGGUACAGACCGCGAAGGCAGGCAGCAGGGGGGAAGCUUCCGGAAGGGGCGAAAGCCUGACGGAGCAACGGAGCGUGAGUGAUGAAGGGCUGCGGACCGUAAAACUCGUGGAGGAGGGAAGAAAAAAUGUGGAAGUAACGAUGCACGUCUUGACGGGAGCUAAUCAGAAAGCCACGGCUAACUACGUG